Molecule: ribosomal RNA, 378 nt
Filed under: uncultured organism
Description: bacterial SSU rRNA
Rfam family: Bacterial small subunit ribosomal RNA
Source: RNAcentral
CGUAGGGGGCCAGCGUUGUCCGGACUUACUGGGCGUAAAGCGCGCGCAGGCGGACAAGUAUGUGCCGUGUGAAAGCGCCGUCCUUACGAUGGCGAGGUCGUGGUAGACAGCUUGUCUGGAGGCUCGAAGAGGUCGAUGGAAUUCCGGGUGGAGCGGUGAAAUGCGUAGAGAUCCGGAGGAACACCAGGGGCGAAAGCGGUCGACUGGUCGAGUACUGACGCUGAGGCGCGACGGCGUGGGGAGCAAACCGGAUUAGAUACCCGGGUAGUCCACGCAGUAAACGAUGCACACCCGGUGUGGGGGGCGGCUUUAUCGCCGUUCUCCGUGCCCAAGGUUACCUGAUGAGUGUGCCGCCUGGGGACUACGAGCGCAAGCUUA